UUCCCUACGGGGGGCAGCAGUGAGGAAUAUUGGUCAAUGGGCGGGAGCCUGAACCAGCCAAGUCGCGUGAGGGAUGACGGCCCUAUGGGUUGUAAACCUCUUUUGCCGGGGAGCAAAGUGCCGCACGUGUGCGGUUUGGAGAGUACCCGGAGAAAAAGCAUCGGCUAACUCCGCGCCAGCAGCCGCGGUAAUACGUAGGUGGCGAGCGUUAUCCGGAAUGAUUGGGCGUAAAGGGUGCGUAGGCGGUCGAUUAAGUCUGGAGUGAAAGGUACCGGCUCAACCGGUAUAGGCUCCGGAAACUGAUG
RNAcentral lists this ribosomal RNA (305 nucleotides) under uncultured bacterium. RNAcentral describes it as "bacterial SSU rRNA". It matches the Rfam family "Bacterial small subunit ribosomal RNA", at positions 335 to 638 of the family's 1533-position model. The record is from RNAcentral.